GAUGAACGCUAGCUACAGGCUUAACACAUGCAAGUCGAGGGGCAGCAUGUUGGUUGCUUGCAACCGACGAUGGCGACCGGCGCACGGGUGAGUAACGCGUAUCCAACCUACCCUUGUCCAUCGGAUAACCCGUCGAAAGGCGGCCUAACACGAUAUGCGGUUCUCAGCAGGCAUCUAACGAGAACGAAAUGUGAAGGAGAAGGAUGGGGAUGCGUCUGAUUAGCUUGUUGGCGGGGUAACGGCCCACCAAGGCGACGAUCAGUAGGGGUUCUGAGAGGAAGGUCCCCCACAUUGGAACUGAGACACGGUCCAAACUCCUACGGGAGGCAGCAGUGAGGAAUAUUGGUCAAAUGGGCGAGAGCCUGAACCAGCCAAGUAGCGUGCGGGAUGAAGGCCCUAUGGGUUGUAAACCGCUUUUACAGGGGGAUAAAGUGAAGCGUCGUGACGUUCAUUGCAGGUACCUUAUGAAU
This 470-nucleotide ribosomal RNA is filed under the name uncultured bacterium. Its description in RNAcentral is "bacterial SSU rRNA". It matches the Rfam family "Bacterial small subunit ribosomal RNA", at positions 28 to 487 of the family's 1533-position model. The record is from RNAcentral.